GACGAACGCUGGCGGCGUGCCUAAUACAUGCAAGUGGGACGCAAGGAAACACACUGUGCUUGCACACCGUGUUUUCUUGAGUCGCGAACGGGUGAGUAACGCGUAGGUAACCUGCCUAUUAGCGGGGGAUAACACUGGGAAACGUUACCUAUAACCGCUUAAUAUUCAUUAUUCCAUGUUAAUUGAUUGAAAUUUGCACGCGCAUACCUAGUAGAGGGACCUACUCUGUAUUAGCUAGUUGGUAAGGUAAGAGCUUACCAAGGGAACGAUACAUAGCCGACCUGAGAGGGUGAUCGGCCACACUGGAACUGAGACACGGUCCAGACUCCUACGGGAGGCAGCAGUAGGGAAUCUUCGGCAAUGGGCGAAAGUCUGACGGAGCAACGCCGCGUGAGUGAAGAAGGUUUUCGGAUCGUAAAGCUCUGUUGUAAGGGAAGAACGUAUGUGAAAGUGAAUAGUCCAGUCAGUACGGGUAGUUUACAAGAAAGCGCCGGUUACCUACGU
This 504-nucleotide ribosomal RNA is filed under the name uncultured bacterium. RNAcentral's name for it is "partial 16S ribosomal RNA". It matches the Rfam family "Bacterial small subunit ribosomal RNA", at positions 28 to 506 of the family's 1533-position model. The record is from RNAcentral.